Molecule: long non-coding RNA, 1663 nt
Organism: Paramormyrops kingsleyae
Lineage: Eukaryota; Metazoa; Chordata; Actinopteri; Osteoglossiformes; Mormyridae
Source: RefSeq, a predicted model, not a curated record
ACGAAAUUAUGGGAAACAGGAGUUUUUUUUUUAAACGCAUGAUGAAGUAAAUGUAUUUGUAGGCACAGUCUAUCUCCCAAUAAUUACUUGCAAAUAGUUUCCACAAGCCUGCCAGUAAAAGCGUCUCCAUGUAGAAGAGGCAGUUGCUAAUGACUAUAGCAACGGCGCACACAUCUCGCUGUAUGUCUAAUAAGCCCGGAGUUUCGGUUCGAAGGUGAAAAUGCAGCUUAGAAAAUGAAACGUGGCCCUGGAGAUGACCUUGAAGUCGAUACGUUCGUCCUUUUUUAAAAGGAGGCCGAACAAGAGGAGAGGCAGCGGUACAGUUUCCCCGACCCCCUAAAGAUGGCAGUCAAACAUGGGAUUUUUCCGCGUCCAUCUCCGGAGCUGCAAACAGUCGCAGCCAGGAAUUCAAACCCGGAGACCAGCACUGGCAAAAGCUGCACAAUUAAAACGUCGACACAUUUUAAAUAGCACAUUUUUUUAACGGAGGCAGAAUUCACUUGGGACCCCAAAGUAAAAGAAAAUCAAGAUAGUUUUGCAAAACGCCACUAUCUCCAAGGAAAGUGUUCGGGGUGAAUUGCAUAUUGAUGCACACACAUGUUUUGUUUGCCCUCGACGAUUGUGUACUUCUCAGAGAUAAGAUUCAGUUUGGUUUGUAGUUUUACCCCCUCUUCUUCCCAUCAAAGUAAAAUUAAUCAAAUAAACGGAAAGAAACCACCCUUUGUUGCGAGUGGAUUUUAUGCUUUCCGGCUUUGAAAUUUGGUCUGUUUAAGAAAGUCCAUGCGAGAAUUGAGAGCUGGGGUACAGAUUUUAAACCCUUCUUAACUGAGCCAUUGACUGGGUGCAAUAAGGCGUGAGGGGGAACUAAUCUUCCUAUUUAAGUGUUUGUUGCAAUUUUAUUUAAACGAAUUUUAAUGCUAAACGAGGGAUAAUUCCCCAUUUGUAUCCAGACUAGUAGACCAACCCCCACCCCACAUAGGCUAUCCUCUUUCUGCACAGGGCGGGCAGACGCGGCGUUUGGUGCGCAGGAGUGUAAACCAGGCACUUCCGAAACUCAAGUAUUGCUGCACUGCAUUGCAUUUUUCCGAUAAACAUAGAAAUCGAAAGAGGUUUAUAUGCCCAUUUCGCCAUUUUCUCAAGUGUGUCUGUGCAAAUGUGAAACUGAGUUAGAUGCACUGCGCGCUAAUUCGGGGUUAUCCAGGGUACCUGUGCAAACAUUAGUGCAAGUUGUGCUAAAUAAAUAAUCCCCUUGACAUGCAUCUGGUGUUUUGUAAAACGUUUAAUUUAUAGUUGAUUUCUCCUCCGCAUAUUUACAAAAAAAAGUAAGAAUUGUUUUUAACAUUAUCCGUGUUUAGUAAUAUAAGCAAAAUCUUCAAAUAGCAGCUAUACUCUUAAAUUUGGUGUGCUAGGCUGCCAAAAGCCACGCUUUUCUGUUUAAUACAAUAUGGUCUCUUCAAACAGUUUCGGGAAGCCGCGGAGAGCCCGGCUGCAAUUGUGUGGCUUGUCCUUCUCAUUGUGCGUUGGAAAGGCUGUCUAUACGAUGACACGGUCACCUUAAGUUAUUUGGGAUUUUUAACACGAACUAUACAAACACUUCGUUUGGGCUGUAUCCGUGCCUGAAUACUGCUUUUUAACUGUGAUUCAUGUGAUUGUAAAAUGCCCA